GACGAACGCUGGCGGCGUGCCUAAUACAUGCAAGUCGAACGCUGAAGGAGGAGCUUGCUCUUCUGGAUGAGUUGCGAACGGGUGAGUAACGCGUAGGUAACCUGCCUGGUAGCGGGGGAUAACUAUUGGAAACGAUAGCUAAUACCGCAUAAGAGUAGAUGUUGCAUGACAUUUACUUAAAAGGUGCAAUUGCAUCACUACCAGAUGGACCUGCGUUGUAUUAGCUAGUUGGUGGGGUAACGGCUUACCAAGGCGACGAUACAUAGCCGACCUGGAGGGGUGAUCGGCCAAACUGGGACUGAGACACGGCCCAGACUCCUACGGGAGGCAGCAGUAGGGAAUCUUCGGCAAUGGACGGAAGUCUGACCGAGCAACGCCGCGUGAGUGAAGAAGGUUUUCGGAUCGUAAAGCUCUGUUGUAAGAGAAGAACGAGUGUGAGAGUGGAAAGUUCACACUGUGACGGUAUCUUAACAGAAAGGGACGGCUAACUACGUG
RNAcentral lists this ribosomal RNA (495 nucleotides) under uncultured bacterium. RNAcentral describes it as "partial 16S ribosomal RNA". It matches the Rfam family "Bacterial small subunit ribosomal RNA", at positions 28 to 507 of the family's 1533-position model. The record is from RNAcentral.